This 30-nucleotide non-coding RNA is filed under the name Mus musculus (house mouse). The record is from RNAcentral. Lineage: Eukaryota; Metazoa; Chordata; Mammalia; Rodentia; Muridae.
UGGAAGUAGUCAGAAUCACCACGAGGACCU